Molecule: non-coding RNA, 770 nt
Organism: Chiloscyllium plagiosum (whitespotted bambooshark)
Lineage: Eukaryota; Metazoa; Chordata; Chondrichthyes; Orectolobiformes; Hemiscylliidae
Source: RefSeq, a predicted model, not a curated record
UGAGAGCCAGAAGGAACACAGGAAUCACUUGGCAGACUCACUGCGAGGAAAGAAAAGCGACACCAAAGGUGGCUUCAAAGCAAAAUAAAUAGGAGCAGCUUUAAAAAGUAGAACGGCCACUGUUCAUCAGCGCCACUAUCCAGUUUCGUAAACUCUUCAACCUGCACUCAAGACAAACCCGCCAUUUUUCUUCCCUCACUCCCUCCGUUAAAUCUCGCGAGGUUUUGCGCGGCCUUCAAUUUUAUCGCGAUCCUUCCCAAGUCCCGAUUGUCGCGUGGCGUGGUCACUAUGACAACCAAGGCAACGACGUGUUUGCUCCUCUCCUCUCCCCGACCCUGGGAAAGGCUUGAGGUCACGUGUUUACAAAUGAUCUCUGUAUCAUACAAAAUAACAGAUAACAAAACCCCACGCCCACAUGUAGUUAACGGCAGGGGAAAAACGAAAUAGGUGACGAACGCUGCGUUUUACCCGGACUGUUUCCAACGCUAGGGGACAUGUUCACACGGGGAUGCUGGUGUUGGGAUGGGAAGCGAUGAGGCUGACUAUACUGAAACACACACACACACACACGGCGAUGAUUAACUGGAAUUUACACGCAGGGGCGAAGUAACAGAGUUCGCUGAACUCCUCGGACCGUCACAAAAUCCUACUAAAUGAUCUCAGGGACCACUUCCACCUCCUGGAAACACUUGCCAAACAUGUGGUCAAGGAUACAUCUCUUGCAUGGGGCUCAUCAACAACACAAGGACCAACAGGAUCCAUGACGAGAG